UACGGGGGGGGGCAAGCGUUGUUCGGAAUUACUGGGCGUAAAGGGCUCGUAGGCGGCCAACUAAGUCACACGUGAAAUCCCCAGGCUUAACCUGGGAACUGCGUGUGAUACUGGAUGGCUUGAAUCCGGGAGAGGGAUGCGGAAUUCCAGGUGUAGCGGUGAAAUGCGUAGAUAUCUGGAGGAACACCGGUGGCGAAGGCGGCAUCCUGGACCGGUAUUGACGCUGAUGAGCGAAAGCCAGGGGAGCAAACGGGG
RNAcentral lists this ribosomal RNA (255 nucleotides) under uncultured bacterium. Its description in RNAcentral is "partial 16S ribosomal RNA". It matches the Rfam family "Bacterial small subunit ribosomal RNA", at positions 524 to 777 of the family's 1533-position model. The record is from RNAcentral.